RNAcentral lists this ribosomal RNA (423 nucleotides) under uncultured prokaryote. RNAcentral's name for it is "bacterial SSU rRNA". It matches the Rfam family "Bacterial small subunit ribosomal RNA", at positions 355 to 776 of the family's 1533-position model. RNAcentral also lists the same sequence under 1 other name. The record is from RNAcentral.
UGGGGAAUAUUGGACAAUGGGCGGAAGCCUGAUCCAGCAACGCCGCGUGAGGGAUGACGGCCUUCGGGUUGUAAACCUCUUUCAGCACAGACGAAGUUCCAUUCUUUUGGGUGGAUUGACGGUAUGUGCAGAAGAAGCACCGGCCAACUACGUGCCAGCAGCCGCGGUAAUACGUAGGGUGCGAGCGUUGUCCGGAAUUAUUGGGCGUAAAGGGCUCGUAGGCGGUUUGUCGCGUCGGGAGUGAAAACACUGGGCUUAACUCAGUGCUGGCUUUCGAUACGGGCAGACUAGAGGUAUGCAGGGGAGAACGGAAUUCCUGGUGUAGCGGUGAAAUGCGCAGAUAUCAGGAGGAACACCGGUGGCGAAGGCGGUUCUCUGGGCAUUACCUGACGCUGAGGAGCGAAAGUGUGGGGAGCGAACAGG